ACCUGCCUGGCUCAGUAGGUGGAGCGUGUGACUCUUGAUCUCAGGGUUGUGAGUUCAAGCCCCACAUUGGGUG
Molecule: transfer RNA, 73 nt
Filed under: Felis catus (domestic cat)
Lineage: Eukaryota; Metazoa; Chordata; Mammalia; Carnivora; Felidae
Also listed under: 3 other names
Rfam family: tRNA
About the family: Transfer RNA (tRNA) molecules are approximately 80 nucleotides in length.
Source: Rfam by way of RNAcentral